CCUACGGGGGGCUGCAGUGGGGAAUAUUGCACAAUGGGCGCAAGCCUGAUGCAGCCAUGCCGCGUGUGUGAAGAAGGCCUUCGGGUUGUAAAGCACUUUCAGCGGGGAGGAAGGCGGUGAGGUUAAUAACCUCAUCGAUUGACGUUACCCGAAGAAGAAGCACCGGCUAACUCCGUGCCAGCAGCCGCGGUAAUACGGAGGGUGCAAGCGUUAAUCGGAAUUACUGGGCGUAAAGCGCACGCAGGCGGUCUGUCAAGUCGGAUGUGGAAUCCCCGGGCUCAACCUGGGAACUGCAUUCGAAACUGGCAGGCUAGAGUCUUGUAGAGGGGGGUAGAAUUCCAGGUGUAGCGGUGAAAUGCGUAGAGAUCUGGAGGAAUACCGGUGGCGAAGGCGGCCCCCUGGACAAAGACUGACGCUCAGGUGCGAAAGCGUGGGGAGCAAACAGGAUUAGAUACCCGAGUAGUC
RNAcentral lists this ribosomal RNA (465 nucleotides) under uncultured Klebsiella sp. Its description in RNAcentral is "bacterial SSU rRNA". It matches the Rfam family "Bacterial small subunit ribosomal RNA", at positions 338 to 795 of the family's 1533-position model. The record is from RNAcentral. Lineage: Bacteria; Pseudomonadati; Pseudomonadota; Gammaproteobacteria; Enterobacterales; Enterobacteriaceae.